This 253-nucleotide ribosomal RNA is filed under the name uncultured bacterium. RNAcentral describes it as "partial 16S ribosomal RNA". It matches the Rfam family "Bacterial small subunit ribosomal RNA", at positions 524 to 776 of the family's 1533-position model. The record is from RNAcentral.
CACGUAGGGUGCGAGCGUUGUCCGGAAUUAUUGGGCGUAAAGAGCUCGUAGGCGGUCUGUCACGUCGGGAGUGAAAACUCAGGGCUUAACCCUGAGCCUGCUUCCGAUACGGGCAGACUAGAGGUAUGCAGGGGAGAACGGAAUUCCUGGUGUAGCGGUGAAAUGCGCAGAUAUCAGGAGGAACACCGGUGGCGAAGGCGGUCCUCUGGGCAUUACCCGACGCUGAGGAGCGAAAGUGUGGGGAGCGAACAGG